CGUGCUGAAAAACAUAUGCGCUACAUGCGAAGCUCCGGAGCGGGGCGCUCCGUAAUGAUCGCCGGCGCUCUCCCAGCAGUGUCGUCGCCCAGAUGGUUGUCAAGACGGAUGCCCCUCACCUCCUCUUGCUCCGUCUUUUUCCCAGCCGGUGGUAUGCCAGCGCGGUUGUCGGCCCAUCUCGCUCCUCGCCGUCACUUUGCGCGACGCACGGAACCGCGCUUGUUUGAGGUGAACCCAACUCGCGAGAGCUACGUGAUCGAGACUGCCUUCGAGGAACCGACCUUUCGCUUUAUCUGCGAAGGCGUCGACGUCGACUUCAAGGAGGACGUACGCGAGGCGCUGGCAAAGGUGCUUCCACCUUCCCCUUCGAACUUCACCCAGCGGGAGGAAGGCACAGCACUGCAGCUACCCCAGAUACUCCUGGCAUUGCGGUCGCUGUGCCGGCAGCAACUUGUCUCGUUCGCGCAGGUCCGCUCCACACCGCGACUGCUGGCGUCCUACUACGAAGCCCUUGCCGCGGCCAACCCGGUGCUGGCGGUGCUGGCGGCUGAGCACUACACCUUUGCCGGGCUAGUGGCGACGCACGCGAAGAAGAGUGUUCGGGACGUCGUACUUGCGGGUGUUGACAGCGCCGCGACUAUUGGAUGCAUUGCUGAGAAGGAGCUUAUCGCGGAGGGCACGCCGCUGAACACGGAGGCGCGCUACGACGUGCACGAGCGGUGCUUUGUGCUUCGUGGCACGGGCAAGUUUGGCGUGGUGGCUGCGGCCUGCGCGCAGUGGGCCGUGGUGAGCGCCACCCUCACCCUCAACAAGAAGGAGCACAACGGCACACACCUCUUUUUGGUCCAACUUCGAGAAGGUGACUUGCUCAGUGCGUCGGGGCAACUUCGUCGUGGUAUAUCGGUGCGCCCUAUCACGGGCGAGAACACCACCAUGGCUGGCUGUGGCGUGGCCGUGCUGCAUUUCGAGGACGUACGAAUCCCGAGCGAUCACUUGCUCGACCCGUACUGCAUCACGAGCGAGUCAAAGGUGGGGUACGUGGCUGGACAGGAAAGUCAGGAACCAGCAACAGAGGUGCUGCGCACCCGCCGCCGCAUCGCCACCGGCGCCAUUUACAUUGGCGUGACGAAGAAGCUCCUUACUGACGUGGUCACCUACACGGCCGACAAGUACGUAGUGGGGCCUGACUAUCGCCGCAACUACCCCUUUCUGGGCCUCCAGCACAUCCAAUCACCGCUUGUGAGCAUGGUGGCGAAGUCGUAUGUGUACCUGGUUGCGUGGCAGCGACUCCUGCCAGUUUUCACGAACCCUUCCGGGUCGCCGUCGUACGAGGACCACAUGCGCCUCGCCGGCACGGUUCACUUCCUACAGGAGAACCUGCUCGACUUACAGACGUUUGCCGACAAGACGAUGGGUCUGCACGGCUCUUUCGCCAGCACAGGCAAAGAUGCUGCUGUGACUCUUGUGCAUCUCCGGCAAGAGGACCUGGAUACCUCUGCCUUGAUUCGCGAGGUCGCCUUCCGGUCGGUCACUAAGAACAUUGGCACAACGCACUGGGGCUGGUGGCUGACAAGUCUUCUACAGCCGGUGUUUCCAGCCCUCAAUCGCUUUUUGAAGAACCCACUGUACUCGCCUCGCAUUGCUGAUCUCGGACGUCAUCUGAUCUUCUUCAGUCACAAGCACUACAGUCUCAAGAAGCGUCUGCGGCAGUCACGCGAGCUAGAACGGCGAAAGGGCGGCAGUGAGCAUGAGUGGUAUGACUGGGUGAUGUUUCGCCACCGCACCGUCGUGCACUGCGGUGAGGCGUUCAUGGAGGUGUACUACCUUGAUGUGAUGAUGAAGGAGACCGAGAAGUGCAGCGACCCGCGUGGACGCAAGAUUCUGCGCGACAUUGCCUGGAUCUACGCCUUGACGCGGCAGAUGGACCGGUUGGACUUUUUGCUGUCGUCGAAGAUGCUGAGCCCAGGCAAGGCAGAGACCCUCGUAAGCCAUAUCGACAACAUUGUGACAGUGCUCGCUCCGCAGUGUGUGCAUCUCGUGGAAGCGAUGCAGGUGCCAGAGUUCGCUCGUGCGCCGUGCCGCUCGGCGACGUAUAUGGAGGCGUACUGGACUAUCCCAGGAACGAACACGCACAUUGAGCGCGGGGAUCGACUCACCCUGCGUGACGCCUCGAAAGCCUCGUCUUCCAAGGGCCGCCGCGGGGCCGAAAAUGCCAAGGCGGCGCAGGAGGCGAUACGUGAGUCGCCGGAGGAGUUUGACUUGUUCCACGGUCUUGCCGACGAGCCGUCGUACGCGCGCCGCAAGGCGCCGUAGCAGCGUGGCUGUGGCAUUUGGGUUCUCAUGAGCUCGAGUUGCGUGUGGGCAUGGGUGUGUAUCAAUCAGGUGCGCCGGAGCGCAUCAAUAUCGUUGCAACCAUCACAUGUUCAUGUGUGUGUGCGUGUGCGUGUACUUGGGAGGCCAUGGGCUGGGGGAUGGGGGGAGUCGUCUGUCGUGUUCUCCUUGCCUUUCCCUUGUUGCCUUUACGUCUGUCGCGCGUAUGCACCACUUGAACAGGAUGAAGCGUUUUGGUCUUCUGUUUUGUGAAGCGAAUUUCGUUGCUGCCUGGCGCGGCGCUAUCACAGAGGCCUGCGCAACAUAAGGGCCAAGAGGAGGAAAACACGACUCAGAGGGCAGUCGCAGCCACGGGCAUAGCAUCGGACACGAGAGAGAGUGAGAAAGAGGUCUCUCUUGAUUUGCUACUCACUUGUGCUUCUUCUAUCUAAGCACCUAGCGACUUGCAGGUUCUCGUCACAGGGUGUGGUGGAGGUUGCUUGAGUCGGCAGGUGGUGAGUGAAGGUCAGAUGGGGCUGACACGGAUCGCCUAAUGAGUUGAUGUGCAUUAUAGCGGCACAUGCACCUCUCUUUUUCUUUAUAGGUUUUCUAUUCUUCUCCCCAGCGUGCCCUUCCCUUCUUUGUUUCUUAUCGACUUUCUCUCCCGUACGUGUGACCCACCGUGGCGGUAUACACAGAGGGACGAAAUGCAACAACAACCCGCGUGCGUGAUCGCCGCCUUUGCCCGCGCAUUUCUCCCCACACUGCGACUCUGACACCGGGAGACGGUUUGUAAAUCUUUCUCCGUCGGUGUGCACACACGCGUGGGUUUGCGCGGGUAGCACAGAAGGGAAGCGAGAGAGUGAGAGGGAAACCUUGGGUGUUGGGAAUAAAACGAGGACGACGGCGCGGCCCCCUUUUCCUUCCCCUCCUCUUUUCCGGCCUCUCUCUCCAUCAAGGCACCUUUCUUUGGUUCUUUCAUCUGCACACCCGCCUCACUUUUCUGGAAUUGCUCAG
Molecule: unclassified non-coding RNA, 3327 nt
Filed under: Leishmania donovani
Lineage: Eukaryota; Euglenozoa; Kinetoplastea; Trypanosomatida; Trypanosomatidae
Description: gene:LdHU3.27.3360(CDS-product:acyl-CoA_oxidase_p utative)
Source: RNAcentral